This 234-nucleotide ribosomal RNA is filed under the name uncultured bacterium. Its description in RNAcentral is "partial 16S ribosomal RNA". It matches the Rfam family "Bacterial small subunit ribosomal RNA", at positions 15 to 244 of the family's 1533-position model. The record is from RNAcentral.
GAUCCUGGCUCAGGACGAACGCUGGCGGCGCGCCUAACACAUGCAAGUCGAACGAGAGAGAGGGAGCUUGCUUCCUCAAUCGAGUGGCGAACGGGUGAGUAACGCGUGAGGAACCUGCCUCAAAGAGGGGGACAACAGUUGGAAACGGCUGCUAAUACCGCAUAAGCCCACAGCUCGGCAUCGAGCAGAGGGAAAAGGAGCAAUCCGCUUUGAGAUGGCCUCGCGUCCGAUUAG